UACGGGGGGGGCAAGCGUUGUUCGGAAUUACUGGGCGUAAAGGGCUCGUAGGCGGCCAACUAAGUCAGACGUGAAAUCCCUCGGCUUAACCGGGGAACUGCAUCUGAUACUGGAUGGCUCGAGUUUGGGAGAGGGAUGCGGAAUUCCAGGUGUAGCGGUGAAAUGCGUAGAUAUCGGGAGGAACACCUGUGGCGAAAGCGGCUCACUGGACCACAACUGACGCCGAGGCGCGAAAGCUAGGGGAGCAAACAGG
Molecule: ribosomal RNA, 253 nt
Filed under: uncultured bacterium
Lineage: Bacteria
Description: partial 16S ribosomal RNA
Rfam family: Bacterial small subunit ribosomal RNA
Source: RNAcentral